This 229-nucleotide ribosomal RNA is filed under the name uncultured bacterium. Its description in RNAcentral is "partial 16S ribosomal RNA". It matches the Rfam family "Bacterial small subunit ribosomal RNA", at positions 568 to 796 of the family's 1533-position model. The record is from RNAcentral.
CGCGUAGGUGGUCAAAUAAGUCUGGUGUGAAAUAUCUCGGCUCAACCGAGGAAACGCGCUGGAAACUGUCUGACUUGAGUGAUGGAGGGGGAGCUGGAAUUCCAGGUGUAGGGGUGAAAUCUGUAGAGAUCUGGAAGAACACCGGAGGCGAAGGCGAGCUCCUGGCCUGUUACUGACGCUGAGGCGCGAAAGCGUGGGGAGCGAACAGGAUUAGAUACCCUGGUAGUCC